This 348-nucleotide transfer-messenger RNA is filed under the name Chloroflexota bacterium. RNAcentral's name for it is "Chloroflexi bacterium (marine metagenome) transfer-messenger RNA". It matches the Rfam family "transfer-messenger RNA". Rfam says of the family: Bacterial tmRNA, also known as 10Sa RNA or SsrA, is named for its dual tRNA and mRNA-like properties. Its role is to liberate the mRNA from a stalled ribosome. To accomplish this part of the tmRNA is used as a reading frame that ends in a translation stop signal. The record is from RNAcentral. Lineage: Bacteria; Bacillati; Chloroflexota.
GGGGGCGUGAGGCUUCGACAGUGGGAGGCCCACAGGAUAGCAGGUCGAGGUGCCAUCUACCUCGUAAAACAGGUGGCAAAAGACAACUGCCGAAGCAGUUCCAAUUGCAGCCUAACUAAGGUUGCACAUCCAACCUGACCUCACCCCGAUGGGUUGGAAUUGGGUGACGAAAUGUCGGGGCGCUCCAAUCUUGAUGUCGAUAGAGAUUGGCUAAGAGUUAUCGACUGGCCUGACUAGCAUUCGGUCAGCAGAGGCUGGCCAGGUGAGACAAAAGAGCUGACUACGCCUGUAGUACGUUCUGGCAACCUUCUUCUGGACGGGGAGUUCAACCCUCCCCCGCCUCCACCA